UACGGAGGGUGCGAGCGUUAAUCGGAAUUACUGGGCGUAAAGCGUGCGCAGGCGGUUCGUUGUGUCGGUGGUGAAAUCCCCGGGCUUAACCUGGGAAUGGCCAUGGAAACUGGCGAACUGGAGUGCGGCAGAGGGGGGUGGAAUUCCGCGUGUAGCAGUGAAAUGCGUAGAGAUGCGGAGGAACACCGAUGGCGAAGGCAGCCCCCUGGGCUAGCACUGACGCUCAGGCACGAAAGCGUGGGGAGCAAACAGG
Molecule: ribosomal RNA, 253 nt
Filed under: uncultured bacterium
Lineage: Bacteria
Description: partial 16S ribosomal RNA
Rfam family: Bacterial small subunit ribosomal RNA
Source: RNAcentral